UUGCUUUUCAUUUCGUUUUUGUGUUGUCAGGCUUCAGAUUCUCCUUGUAGAGUAAAAACAGUUACGGCCGGCGGCGGGCAGGUCCAAGCCUACCUCUUCCGCCGAAGUUAAGGUUCGUCGGGGCGGCAAGCAGCCGGCGCGGGCCGUGCCAGACAUCCACCCUCUCGGGCAAACCAUCCGUCACAGGGCCACACACACAAACCACCCACCGUUCCUCCCCACACGUGCACAUGACAAUAGGUCGGGUAUCCCCAGCGUCGCGCCAGGAAUCCUCAGUAAUGAUCCUUCCGCAGGUUCACCUACGGAAA
Molecule: unclassified non-coding RNA, 308 nt
Filed under: uncultured fungus
Lineage: Eukaryota; Fungi
Description: sequence contains ITS1
Source: RNAcentral